AUGGGAUGAGAGGAAGAAAAACGGGAAGGAAGCAAUGAAAAAUCUUAAGAAACUGCUGAAUAAAAGAGCAGGCCUGAAAGAAUUACAAUGGUGGAGACUUUGAUGUACGAAUAGUUAGAAGAGCGGAAGAGGAGAACACAUAACUCAGCCCUAGAUUGCACCCUCAAGAAAUCAUGUUGAGAUUCCCAACAGAGCACAGCAUGAGGUAUUUGGAGAAACAUGACAUUUUUCCUGAUGUGCACUGAGCAGAGGCUGAAGAGGAGGAGCAGAGGCCAGAG
Molecule: long non-coding RNA, 278 nt
Filed under: Manacus vitellinus (golden-collared manakin)
Lineage: Eukaryota; Metazoa; Chordata; Aves; Passeriformes; Pipridae
Description: lncRNA (ENSMVIG00005012866.1)
Source: RNAcentral